AGCACGCUCCCUUAGAUCCACCUCUGGGGGGCGCCGCCCCCAGCAGCUUUGCGGCUGCACAGUCGGAGGUGCUUGAGUCAUUGGCGUGCCACAGCAGUCUACCUGUCCUGCAGCCGCACCCGCGGUACCGGCUGCCCCGCCUCGGCGGGGGGAGCCCCCGGUGCUGCCAGGCUGCAGGACGGACACA
This is a non-coding RNA of Oryzias latipes (Japanese medaka), 187 nucleotides long. The record is from Rfam. NCBI's taxonomy places the organism in Eukaryota, Metazoa, Chordata, Actinopteri, Beloniformes, Adrianichthyidae.